Molecule: RNase P RNA, 404 nt
Filed under: Colletotrichum incanum
Lineage: Eukaryota; Fungi; Ascomycota; Sordariomycetes; Glomerellales; Glomerellaceae
Description: Nuclear RNase P
Rfam family: Nuclear RNase P
About the family: Ribonuclease P (RNase P) is a ubiquitous endoribonuclease, found in archaea, bacteria and eukarya as well as chloroplasts and mitochondria. Its best characterised activity is the generation of mature 5'-ends of tRNAs by cleaving the 5'-leader elements of precursor-tRNAs. Cellular RNase Ps are ribonucleoproteins.
Source: Rfam by way of RNAcentral
UCCUCUUCAACGCUGCGUUUCUAUGCUACAAACGGAGAGAUUUGCGCGCAAGCAAAAAUCUCUCAUCACUGGCAUAUGAGAAAUUCGGAGUAACUUCUUCACACCACUCACCCAAUGUCGCCUGCCUAGUACGGGAUAGACGGGUCUGCCCGCGAGGGCCUGACGUGACUUCACGUCUGCAAUUGGCAUCAGAAAAGCAGGGCCCGGGCCGCCCUCAUGCAUACCCGGAAUCCCCCUCGGGGGACGCCGGGGAAGAUGGGGGUUCUUGGACUCGGUGUCCCUAUGGGAGAGCCGUUGCGAAAAGAUUGUGCAGAGCACUUGAGUGCGAUACGCAGCGUCUGGACCCUGGCUGGCUUCGGCUGGUCAGGGGCUUGACAAUUCAAUUCCGAUCAUUCUGUUGAGGA